This is a long non-coding RNA of Corvus hawaiiensis (hawaiian crow), 3783 nucleotides long. RefSeq lists it as uncharacterized. The transcript is spliced from 2 exons. Lineage: Eukaryota; Metazoa; Chordata; Aves; Passeriformes; Corvidae. The record is from RefSeq and is a predicted model, not a curated record.
UCAGCCCCAGCCGCGCUCCGGCGGCCCCGGGGCGGAGAACGGAACGCGGCGGCCGCGGGGAGAGAGGGAGACACGGCCAAAUGCCAGGCAAUAGGAUGCAGGCUCGCCGAUGCUGCUGCGAGGCACGGAUCUCUCAAAGGAAGAAUACACCAACACAUCUGAUCUGCUUUUGGUUGUGACCACAAGAACCACUGAUGUACAUGGGAACAGAGUCAGGCCCCAAACUGGAGGCACCAUGUGAAGAAGGAACUGUCCUGCCAAGAGGAUUUAUGCUCUGUUAUUGAGAAUAUGCCUUAGGUGAAUUUGAGGACAUUCCUGAGGAUGGGACUCCGGUGGCAUCACAAACCAGCAGUGGAAUUUUGAUAAUGAAGGAAAACAAAGAUGAUGGAACCUGAGAGGAAACAAUAACCAUUCUUGGGGCUGAGCCCCACACACAGGGAGAGGCCAGCCAGCUGUGCCACCCUCUGACUGCAGAUGGUGGACCACAUGAGUUCAGUCUUGGGAACCAAAUCCACCCAGGGAUCCAUUGUCCCGCCCACAGUGUUUUCCUGUCCAUCCAGGCACUCCAGUACCCCUUUGAGCAAGGUACUGCUGCCCUGUUGAGCCAUGGACAACAUCAGAGCCUGACUGCAAACAUGCUCUCAGGUGCCUCAGGUGCAAAUAUGUUCAUUUCUCUCAUCCCCAUGGGGAAAAGCAGCCACAUGGUGAUUUAGACCAACAGAAUCUAUUUCCCAGGGGAAGCAGGCAAAGAUACUAUGGGUAAAAUGAGGGAUUACAGCUUUCCACAUUCAACCUGUCCCUGGACGUGGAGACCAAACCCCCUUUGGAACAGAUCUGAUGCUGUUUUGUGAGCCAACAGAAAGAAAUUUAAUUUGUGCCUGUUACAUCCACCUGAUGGUCAACUUGUAGCAUGCCAGACCACAAGAGAUACUAAUUACCAGCACCACAAAUCAUGUUACUGUCGCCAGUUUGGAUUCCUGGAAAAUCUAGCUUUGAGGGAUGUCAGAUUCAAUAUCAUGAACAGAUGGUGUUUCUGUCUGAAGAGGAGACAUGCCCUUGAUCAGUCUGUCAGUGCUUAGGGUGCUGAUGCUUUUGGUUCUCAUCCAACCAUCUUCACCCAGGGGCUGAGGCUUUACAAGGCAGCACACAGUCUACAAGGAUGAUUAGGACCUGGAAAUACAGGCAGAAAAGCAAUGUCAGGGUGAUAGAGUCCAUGUCCCUUCAAAAUAUCUAACAGCUUGGACACAGGUGUGAUCUGUUAGAAGUUUUUGUGGCUUGCAAAAACUUUCAGGUCUCCCAUGGCUUGAUCUACAGUAUAACAGAAUACUUCUUAAGGUGAGUCCUUAGCUCUUCAGAGCAGCAAAAUAAGCAAGGAUUAAGUGAGAGUUAAAGAUCAGAAUUGGAAGGUCGCUUAUGUGAAGGUCCGAAAAGCUUUUCGAUGAGUAUCUUAUCUCCUCAACUGCAGAGAGCAUAAAGAACUGUUUGGAUUCUUCUGUGGCUUAUCCAGAUCCCACAGAUCUUCAUGGAAGUGGUUGCAGUGACUUCAGCAGGCUGUGAACAAGGUCUGCAGGACGCUGCCCUGUGAAUAUUUACCCUCUGGUGGAGAGCAGCUGUCUGCCACCUCAGUGUGGGAUAUCGAGUUACACCAUGACCGAGCACAGGUCAUUAAUCACAUCCUUCAGUGAAGUGGUUAUAAGGUCAUCACAUCAAACCCUGCCUGGCACCUUUGUGCCUGCACAAGUUUUAUUUUACACAGAGCCUGGGGAAGCAUCUGUUUAAAACACUUGACUCCGACUCAUUAGCUCUGCCACAAAGCCUCUCUCCUAAUACACUUAAUCUUUCUGCCUCUCCAUUCCUACAUCGCCCUCCCAGCAUCAUCAGCGGACACAGUGAGCAGCUUCUCCUCUCCCUCCAAGUACCUGCUGGCAGGAGGGAUUCAGCCCUCAGACACCACAGACCAGAAGUCCUGUGUUUGCCUGUAGUGGACACAGAGAGUCACAGCCCCCUCAAGUCCCCAUAACCACCCACUGGUCUGUAGAGAGCAACUGCUUCCCACAGGUUUGAGGUCUGCUGCAUGUGGUAGACGUGCCACUAAUGGAUCCUGCAAGAGCAGGAUCCAGAGCAGUAAAAGAAAUCCCAGGAUAAUUAUGUGCUAUGAAAACUAUGGCAGCUCAUACACGAUUAACUCAGCAGGCUUUGGAAUUGGAUCCUCAGCAGAAAGCAGCACUGUGAUCCUAUAACUCUUGCAGAGGUUUAUCUACAGUAGCUGAAGAGAGAGGUGAGGUACCCCAAGUCAGACAAGUUCCAGCUCCUGCAAAGAGCAGUCACCUUUUCUUUUAAGCAGCAGGCACACAGCAGAGGCUCCUGUUUCACCACACCUUUACAGAGUGAUGGGAUCCAUAAAGCAGUGAGCUAGCAAAUGUACCUCUCUCCUGUGACACCAUUCCAAGGACAUGCCAGGCGGUGUUGUGCCUGUGGGUUUGGAGCAAGAGGGAUCUGGAUGAGUACCACCAACCUGUAACUCUGCCAGCAGAUAUGGGGAAGUGCUGCUCGCCUGCUACAGCUGAGUGAAUAACUGAUGGGGCAGGACAGGAGCCAGACAGAGACACCUUUCUGGAGACACUGUUUAGUGCUUUUUAAUUUUGUAAGUUGCUGAAAUUGCACUAUUUCCCUCUCCCAUCCCACAUGCAGACAGUGCAGGCAGGGAAGAGCUGCCUUGAGCAUCAGUGAGACCCUGCUAACUCCUCACCCAGCAGACUGAUUCAGACCAGAAUUAAAUAAAGGACGCUUGGCUAUCAUCACUACCACGAUAAUGUGAAUUUCUGAUUAAAUCUGACAUACUCUUUAGCAAGAUGUGUGGAGCUGAGAAACCAUAAAGUGCUGCUGAAAGCAGAUGUUGAUUUACCAGGAGCACUUUUCCAGCAGCACAGAUGUGGUCACAGCCACACAUCCCUUCCCUCAUCACCUUUCAGUCUGCUUUUUGUAACACUGACAUUUCAGCCCUUCCACAGAGCUCAGGGACCCAAUGUGUGUUUAUGUGCCAGGUGCUGCAUAUACACACAGAUGUAAGGGAUUUCUGUCUCAAAGAGCACAGGGGAAUGGUGAUACACACAUCUGGCACAGGAGGAAACUGAGGUGCGGAGGCUUCCCAGAGUUUGUGCAGCAUCCAGAGACACAGCACAACUGCAAAGAUACUGUGAACAUCCCACCCCAUCCCACUGCCCAGGGGACUGGCAGCCACCAGCUGAGCACUCUCUAAGGUCUGCAGAAGAUAAAGGGUUUCACACUUUUUCACACUAAAUCAUGUGGAAAAAGAGAGUAAGGAAACUUAACCUGUCUGUGUGAGGAGUCGCUGUUUAUCUUUUUUUUGGACAGUAGAAGUGGUGCCUAGAAUUAUUCACCACCAUUUUAAUCAAACUGGAAAAAAAGUAGUCCAUGCAUCCAACAUCUUGAAGACCAAACUGUGCAAUAAGAAAACCAGCAGCUCAGGCUGAGAGUAAGAAACUGGAUCUGGGAGAGAAAGCCUGGCUGGCACUGGCUUGGCUGAGGGACGUGGUUAGUGCUAAAGCAAGCUGCUGGGGAAAGAUUUGCAGGACCUAAUGAAGCCAGAGUGGGAUUGCAACUAUUUCUCACACCCAGCAAGUGAGAGAUUGCCCUAAAAAUACUGCAAUAUGUUUGGACACCGGAUGAACUCGCCAGCUGUUUUCUGAAAAGCCUGAGAUGCUGCAAACAUGAUUAAAGGAAGAGAAAGAAAAAUUAAUAAACCCAACUGAUUGAAAGACA